CCUACGGGAGGCAGUAGUAGGGAAUAUUGCUCAAUGGGGGAAACCCUGAAGCAGCAACGCCGCGUGGAGGAUGAAGGUUUUCGGAUUGUAAACUCCUUUUGUUAGAGAAGAUAAUGACGGUAUCUAACGAAUAAGCACCGGCUAACUCCGUGCCAGCAGCCGCGGUAAUACGGAGGGUGCAAGCGUUACUCGGAAUCACUGGGCGGAAAGAGCGCGUAGGCGGGAUAGCAAGUCAGAUGUGAAAUCCUAUGGCUUAACCAUAGAACUGCAUUUGAAACUGUUAUUCUAGAGUAUGGGAGAGGUAGGUGGAAUUCUUGGUGUAGGGGUAAAAUCCGUAGAGAUCAAGAGGAAUACUCAUUGCGAAGGCGACCUGCUAGAACAUAACUGACGCUGAUGCGCGAAAGCGUGGGGAGCAAACAGGAUUAGAUACCCUAGUAGUC
Molecule: ribosomal RNA, 440 nt
Filed under: uncultured bacterium
Lineage: Bacteria
Description: partial 16S ribosomal RNA
Rfam family: Bacterial small subunit ribosomal RNA
Source: RNAcentral